RNAcentral lists this ribosomal RNA (489 nucleotides) under Pareiorhaphis hystrix. RNAcentral describes it as "partial small subunit ribosomal RNA". It matches the Rfam family "Bacterial small subunit ribosomal RNA", at positions 69 to 983 of the family's 1533-position model. The record is from RNAcentral. Lineage: Eukaryota; Metazoa; Chordata; Actinopteri; Siluriformes; Loricariidae.
GCUGGCAUCAGGCACACCAGAUGGCCCAAGACGCCUUGCUCAGCCACACCCCCAAGGAAUUCAGCAGUAAUAAACAUUAAGCCAUAAGUGAAAACUUGACUUAGUUAGGGUUAAGAGGGCCGGUAAAAUUCGUGCCAGCCACCGCGGUUAUACGAAAGACCCUAGUUUAUAGGCACGGCGUAAAGGGUGGUUAUGGGACAGACAAAAUAAAGCUAAAGACCCCCAGAGCCGUCAUACGCCCACGGGGGCGCGAAACCCAAAUACGAAAGUAGCUUUACCAAACAUGCCCGACCCCACGAAAGCUGAGAAACAAACUGGGAUUAGAUACCCCACUAUGCCCAGCCUUAAACCUAGAUGAAAACUUACAAAACCAUCCGCCCGGGGACUACAAGCACAGCUUAAAACCCAAAGGACUUGGCGGUGCCUCAGACCCACCUAGAGGAGCCUGUUCUAGAACCGAUAACCCCCGUUAAACCUCACCACCUCUUG